Aethalodelphis obliquidens (Pacific white-sided dolphin) is the source of this 5354-nucleotide long non-coding RNA. RefSeq lists it as uncharacterized. The record is from RefSeq and is a predicted model, not a curated record. NCBI's taxonomy places the organism in Eukaryota, Metazoa, Chordata, Mammalia, Artiodactyla, Delphinidae. The transcript is spliced from 2 exons.
GCCACAAUGGUGAGAGGCCCGCAUACUGCAAACGAACAAACAAACAAACAAAAAUAAAUAAAUAAAGAGACGAAGUAUACAUUAUGUUCUGUGUUCAGUGAUAAAAUUGCUGAACUACCAUGUGCCUGUUUUAAAUCUGUGCUUUAAUACUGUUUUUCAGAGCAGGUAUGCUUCACUUUUGGUGAUGAAUCUGGAGAAAACCUGUUAUUUAAAAAAGAAUGCAAGCUCCAGGAGGGAUUGAACUUUGCUUUGUUUAUUGCCAUAUCUCCAGUGCCCAGAACAGUGCCUGACAGGUAACAAAUAUUUAUCGACUGAAUGAGUGAAUUUCACAUGCCUUUAUGAAUUAAUUGUCAGUCUAAAUGUACUAAUCAGACUCUGAGAAGGAGAGAGUCAGUUCUGUUUUCCACUUUCCUAUUAAUAAGCUCAAAAAUCCAUUUUAUUAGUGAGACAGGAUGUAAAACAUACACACAGCUAAGCCUGGUGAAAGAAAACCUGGUAGCUAUAAGUUCAUUUACAUUUUAGAAAUGUUUGUGCAGUGACGAAAACCAAUACUGUUAGAGUCAUCUUAAAAAGUCAUGCUAAAUAAGCCACAGUUGAAAUUAAGUUGAUUUCCCAUUGAAGUCCCCAACUUCCCUCUUAAUGGAGUAUUGACUAUGUUUUAAACAUGCCUUUAGUCUAAGACUUCUGAAAAUGUUGCCUUUGUUGUUAAAAUCCCAUCCGACUACUAAACUGCUGCUCUUUCUUUUUAUUUUUUCUCCCUUGGCCCCCAACAAAUUCUAUAAAUGCUUUGCCUGGCUGUGAUUCAUAAAGAGCUCAAGGAUGGGAAUGCUGGGGACAGACAAUUUCAGAUUCUUCACCUGUCAAGCUCUUGUCAUAACUGAACAUGCUAAUGGCUUGCAAUAGUUUUAAAAUAAAAGAACAACGACAAACAAAAUUGUGGCAUUUGGAGCAAGUUGACAAUUCAAAUCAGACAUAUCAAUCAUCACACUCACACACACACAUACACACACACACACACACAUAUACACACACACACACACACACACACACACACACACACACACUGCUAUCCUCUUGUGGGUAGGGAAAGGCCCUUGAACAAGAGACACAAGAGCUGGUCUGAUAUUUCAUGUAAUAACUCCUAUUACUUCAUUGCAAAUUGUGCUUUGAGUGUGGCCUGACGUCACAUAGGUGUGUUAUGAGUUCAUCUCCAAACGGACUAUUUUCUUCGUUGAAAUGGAGCUCAUUAAACUUAAUAAAGAUAACCAAAACCUGUUACUCCAAGAAAGACUUAGCUCAUGAGUUUGAUUGGACAAACCAAAUCAACUGGAGAAGGAUAAGUUGGUAAAAACUCCGGCACUAAAUGUAUCGGCUCAAUAAGCACUCCUUUACUGGGCUAAUAUAAAUAGUGUAACCUAGUUCUGUGAGAAGGUUCUAGCACCUUGAAACUCAAGUGCAAAAUGAAAUAAAAUGCAAACUUCAUGACUUCACCUAACAGACCUCCCACCACGUUCUAACUUCAUAACUAGGUGAAGAGUGUAGUUUGCUGCAGCCCAGAAUUCACUUUUUUUAAUCCAGUCUGAUAAAAGAGAUUGAUUCCUUUUAAAGCAGUACACUUUCUCCUCUCUCCCUUUGUCUGGAACAGAGAUAAUGGAUGAGUGAGAAAAAUCAAAGAAAAUUCUGGAUCCAUCAUAAUGGGGGCCCUGACCACUGCCCUAAGCAGCAGCAAAUGGGAUGGUCUGGGAGCCACACCAGAAACCUGUUUGUUACCUUAUCUGCAUCUCCUUAGCUGAGGCACUAACUCUUGGCUUUUCAAUAGUGGUGCUCAGAAGAAGUUUGGUUCUUCUGGAAUGAAUCUGAUUGGGUGGACCUCCCAACUUUCUCUGAUUUGGCAUCCCAAAGGAAUGAGUGCUUUCCGCUUGAAGAUUCCCAGGCUCUCAGCACUUAGAGACCCAGGCCACUGUCCAGGGAAGAAUGGAGCAUGCUUCCUCAGUGUGCCUUUCGUUCUUUUCAGGGUAUGGACACUGGGUUCCACGCUUGAAAAACAUUAAGGAUUAAAUAUGGAUGAUCCAAGGAUAUUUCAUCUGUUCUGAGCUGACCUCGUUAUUGAGGCCACUCUAAAGGCCAGAAUGUGGACUUCCCAAGCCCAUUUCCUUAUCUUAUUUGCCUGUGUAAACUCGGUGAAAAGUUUUGGAAUGCUGGGAAUUCUAGGGGACAAAAAGUCACAGAAAGGUGAAUUUAUCUUCGAGUAGGGGUGGAUCGGGUUCUACUUACACUUCAACUGGCAGAGCUAUCUCAGUGACAGGUUGAAAUUCUCCUCUGGCUCCAAAGAACAAAUUGUGAGAGCUGGGUGGAAAUGUCAGUUGAGACAGAAGAGCAGCAAACAGCUUUGUUUUCCUAUAGUUGUGGUUUUGCUUGGUGAUGAUGACACACGACGAUGAAAAUGUGCAGCAUGAACUCCAUUUGUUAUCUGAGUGAGCAUCUCUGCCAACACUGAAGGAUAUGUGUGGGUGUCACCUGCAAGCACACACACACACACAGAGAGAGAGAGAGAGAGAGAGGCCCUGGUUCGGAAAAAAGAGCGAGUUAAUCAAAGAUCAACAGUGACAAGUGGUGCUGUUUAUUUCAUGAGGUUCAGAUUUGAUUUCCUUCCCCUCAUUAAUCUCCAAGUCUGAAGUUAGUCUCUGGACUAAAGAGACGAGUGUCUGGUGACUACGGAAGGGAGUGGGACAAGGUGGGCUUGAAUGGGCAUCAUGGCAGUCACCGUAGUUACGUAGUCAUUUCUUAGUCUCCUGGGCACACACUUAGCAUUUGAUAUGUUAGCUUCCAAAACGUGCAUUUCUAUUACCUUUUAAGAAUCAUGACAUAUUACAUGAGGGUAGACAAGUCGUUGUACUUGGGGUCCCUUUUGCACUCCUAACCCUAUGCAACUCUUGCUUCACUUGUUUAUGUUUCUUCCUACUCCCUUCCUUUUCAUUCACUGAAUAACUAUUUAAUGAGCACCUGCCCAGCUCUAAGAAGUGGCCUAGGAUGGAGAUGUGGCAGCAAGCAACACGGUGUUAUCAUCUCCACGCUUACCAAGUGCAGAGUGUAGACGUUGCAUGUCCCUUCCUUUUUUUACUACCCUAAUCCUCAGGGUAAUCACUUAGUCUUAAUUAUGGGUUCAGACUUGAAUGUGGCUAUUUGAUAGCCUUUGUCUUAUUGGUUUGCCUGAAACUUAUUUUUUGAGAUGUUCUUAUCUACCAUCUCUAACAUGUUUAAUGUCUUAGCUUAGGAUUGACAAAUUUUUUCUGGUAAGGGCCAAAUAGUAAAUAUUUUAGGCUUUGUGACCAUACGGUUUCUUGCAGCUACUCAAUUCUGCCAUUGGAGUGCAAAGGCAGCCACAGACAAUAUGGAAACAAAUGAACGUGUCUGUGUUCCCAUCAACCUUUAUUUGUGAAUAUUUGAACUUCAUGUAACUUUUACACAUCACACAAUAUUAGUAUUCUUUUGACUUUUUUUUCCCAACCACGCACAAUGUAAAAACACAUUCCUAGCUCAUGGGCUGCUCAAAGGCAGACGGUGGGCUGGAUUUGGGCUGCAGGCUGCUAGCUUGGGCUUGGACCCAAGCCAGUUUUAGCUACAAGCUUGUCUUUGAGUUCCAGCCACUAUUUGCACUGGUAGGGCUGGAAGGAAUCAGUUUGGCUGUGUGACUAUGUGUGAACUUGGGAGUUGGGUACCUGGCUGCCAUUUUAUGGGUGACCAAGAGUGACCCCUCUGAAAUCCAAACUAAAGCUCAGCAUUUCCCAGGGUAAUUGGUGAAAUCACUUUUACUCAGAUAAGAAAGGCAUUGACCCUACCCUUACCAUUCCUUCACUUCCAUUCCCCACUCCUGUCUGCAGCUGCUGGUUACACCCAAGGUACAAAUAGUCCUUGGAAGUAGCCCAGCCUAUGUGGGCACCCUGCGCCACACACCCAUUCACACCAUCUGGGCAAUUUAAAAAUAGGGCCAAAUGUAGCAUUUAGCCUGAUCUGUCCAGCCAAGAUGAGGAAAUUGCCUCUAAAAGGUCAGAUGAUUAAGAUUAUUGUGCCAACAGUUGAAGAUACCAGUAAUGAAAAAAGAUUUUGGUAGAGUGGAUUUAUCCUGACUUUGUACAUGGCAUUCAAGUUCUGGGUCUGGGUGAACAACCUCAGAAAUUCCAAAUUUUUGUCCUCCAGCAUGCAUGGCCACUGUGUACAUUUAUGUGUUGUGUACCCUGAGCAAGGGCCCCUAGCCAAGGGGACGAGGGGGCUGAAAUCCAGUCAGGAUCCCCUUAUCAAGCUACUCUCCUGGAAAAGCUAUUCCCACCUGGAGAGCGUGCCUUUCUCCAAUGCCCACACCUAUGGGCUAUUGAGGUGCUGACAGAAUGCUUACCUUUCUGCUACUUGAUUACUGAGCUCUUUAUAGAAUAAGUUAGAUACCCAUUUUCAAAACAGAAAUUAUCCAGGAUGAAUAAUAGUUAAAAUAAAAUAAAACAAAAACAUAGAAUCAUUCUUAAUACCAUCACAGUUUCUCUCUGGGUUCCCUUCUUUAGUCUUCUCUUCCCUGCAUUUCUGCAUAUUUUAAUUCAGUUAGUUGGUUUUUCCUGACAUACAUCUGGUGGGGUUGUCUUUUAGGAGUAACGUGAGAAGAAACUUCCUGGUUCAGAUCUCCAAGGAAAACAAAUAAGUUUUUGUGUCCUGGAGAAUACCAGGUUUGGGGUUAGUUCUUAGGAUGUCCCUGGAAUUUUUCAGUUAAUGGCAGAGUCUUCUCUUAUUCCCUACUUAUCAGUACAUGGCGGGGCUAGACUAAAUAACCUCAAGUCUAAUUCCUAUAAUAGUUUUCAAAUUUGUUAUUAUAACUCUUCCAGGAUAAUCUUCCCAAAAUAAAUGCCAUUGUUUUGGGUUUUCUCCCAUCAUCACAUUCCCAUAUUUUACAGACAUAAAUAUUUUAUGUUUGAUAUUUGUCAAUCAGGAUUAUUGGAAUAAAUCUACCAUUUCCCAUAACUCUUUUUUUUGGUUUGUUUUCUUUUUCCUUUUUUUUUUUUUUUGUUUUGGCUGCACAGCACAGCUUGUGGGAUCUUAGCGGGGCUCUGGCAGCGAGAGGACCAAGUCCUAACCACUGGACCAUUGGGGAAUUCCCCUGUAACUCUUAAAUUCAAUACUUUAUCCAAAUUGUUUCCAUUACUUUCUCUUAAGAAAAUUGUAUUUGUAAGUUUAGGCUAGAAACCUUGAAAAUGUUGUGGAACUUGGGUGAAUUUAAUUUGAAAGUCAUCUUCACAUUACAGCAUGAGAAACUAUUAUAUCAUUUUUAAAGUUUGGCGUUUUCCAAAUAAUAAAUUUAGUGAUGACAUAAA